GACCGGCGUCGUCGGCUGGGGCGACGUCGGGACGGUCUGGCACAUCGUCUGGGACGCGACGUUCACCUUCGUCGCGCUGAUCG
Molecule: transfer RNA, 83 nt
Filed under: Aureimonas endophytica
Lineage: Bacteria; Pseudomonadati; Pseudomonadota; Alphaproteobacteria; Hyphomicrobiales; Aurantimonadaceae
Description: tRNA-Ala
Source: RNAcentral